GUAGGGGGCGAGCGUUGUCCGGAAUUACUGGGCGUAAAGGGCGCGUAGGCGGUUAUUUAAGUCAGAGGUGAAAUCUCCCGGCUUAACCGGGAAACUGUCUUUGAUACUGUUAUCCUUGAGUCUAGUUGAGGUGGGCGGAAUGUGUAAUGUAGCGGUGAAAUGCAUAGAUAUUACACAGAACACCGAUUGCGAAGGCAGCUUACUAAACUACAACUGACGCUGAGGCACGAAAGCGUGGGUAGCGAACAGGAUUAGAUACCCUGGUAGUCCACGCCGUAAACGAUGAAUACUCGAUGUGUGUGACAUAUUGCACGCGUCUGAGCGAAAGCAUUAAGUAUUCCACCUGGGGAGUACGGCCGCAAGGUUG
Molecule: ribosomal RNA, 367 nt
Filed under: uncultured bacterium
Lineage: Bacteria
Description: bacterial SSU rRNA
Rfam family: Bacterial small subunit ribosomal RNA
Source: RNAcentral